RNAcentral lists this ribosomal RNA (511 nucleotides) under uncultured organism. RNAcentral describes it as "bacterial SSU rRNA". It matches the Rfam family "Bacterial small subunit ribosomal RNA", at positions 999 to 1510 of the family's 1533-position model. The record is from RNAcentral.
UGCUGAAAGGCGAGAGUGCUUUCGGGAGCGCGGAGACAGGUGGUGCAUGGCUGUCGUCAGCUCGUGUCGUGAGAUGUUGGGUUAAGUCCCGCAACGAGCGCAACCCUCGUCCUUAGUUGCCAGCAUUAAGUUGGGCACUCUAGGGAGACUGCCGGUGACAAACCGGAGGAAGGUGAGGAUGACGUCAAGUCAGCAUGCCCCUUAUGCUCUGGGCAACACACGUCCUACAAUGGUCGGGACAAAGGGGAGCAAGCUCGCGAGAGUAAGCGAAUCCCAGCAAACUCGGCCUCAGUUCAGAUUGCAGGCUGCAACUCGCCUGCAUGAAGGAGGAAUCGCUAGUAAUCGCAGGUCAGCAUACUGCGGUGAAUUCGUUCCCGGGCCUUGUACACACCGCCCGUCACCCCAUGGAAGCUGGCCAAGCCCGAAGUCGUUACCCUAACCGUUUGGAGGGGGGCGCCGAAGGCUGGGCUAGUGACUGGGGUGAAGUCGUAACAAGGUAACCAAGGGCGAA